GCACAUCCUUUUGUGUAGGUUAGACCAUCUCUGGAUUACUUCUAAUACCUAAUAGAAGUUGAUCCAGUCCCCUGUGACAACCCCCCUUGGGCUGAUCAUGUUGAAGACAACUUCAGAAGAGCUGGCUUGUCCCCGUGAGGACCUCAGUGUGGCUCGGAAGGAGGAGUUGCGGAAGCUGCUACUGGACCAGGUGCAGACAGUGCUUGGGCUACUGACAGGUAUCUUGGAGACUGUCUGGGACAAACACAGUGUUACUGCUGCCACUCCACCACCAUCCCCGACCUCAGGAGAAAGUGGUGACUUACUGAGUAACCUGUUGCAGAGUCCCAGUUCAGCCAAACUGUUGAAUCAGCCAAUUCCCAUCCUUGAUGUGGAGAGUGAGUAUAUCUGUUCCCUGGCUUUGGAGUGCCUGGCCCAUCUCUUCAGUUGGAUUCCUCUGUCUGCCAGCAUCACCCCAUCCCUCCUUACCACCAUCUUCCACUUUGCACGAUUUGGCUGUGACAUCCGGG
Molecule: non-coding RNA, 509 nt
Filed under: Pan troglodytes (chimpanzee)
Lineage: Eukaryota; Metazoa; Chordata; Mammalia; Primates; Hominidae
Also listed under: 1 other name
Source: RNAcentral